CUGAUUGCCCUUUCAUCUCUUUCAAAAAUGUGCAAGGCCUGAAGCCGAAACCUCAGCUGCCGCCGUAGAUGAAUAUAUUCCAGUACUGACAAAUAAUUGGAAUCAACGAUUGGUGAUCAGUAUCCGGAAAGCUGAGGAUGGUGUGAACCGAUAUGCAUUGAGUCAGUAUCGGUGGGGCGGUCCGGUUCAUUUUCUGCAUUCCCUUUCCUGCUAUAAAUACCAAGCCAUCAAUGUGGCUACCUUGCAGAUCAGUUGUAGGACGAAGGAAGAAGAGGGGUCUUCCAUGAGGGCCAUAGCCAGCCUUUGGUAGCCAAGGAUGACUUGCCUACAUGGCCUUGUGAGUCCCGGUUGCAUAGCCGGUUCAGCUAGGUCUGUGGGCGGUCACCUUGGCUAGUCUGAGUGGCUUUUGCCUCUCAUGGGAGGCUUCUUCUUCUCUGUUAGUCAUGAUAUAUAUUUGCCUGGUGCUUCAUUAUAUUUGCUUUGUCAGAUCGUUCAGAAAUACAUGUGUUGGACACUUGGCCCUGCAAGUAUGACUGGAAUCACUUCUAACAUUUUAAUUUUUUUCUGUUGUUUUGCUUAAUGAGUGCUUCCUCCAAUUUUAAAUAUAUGACGUUUAGGAUAAACUAAUUAGUUCAUAACGGGGGUAAUACUUUUGUUGUUCUAGUGGUUGUAUGCAUACUCAGAUUAAAAUGUGCAUUUUCAUUUUAAAAUUUCCAACAAAGAUGCACAUACGUGUGGAUUUAAUUAGCUGCAAAGCAAUAGAAUCUCCAAGUCAUGUAAAUGAGCACUGAUCAGCCGGCUGUGGAGUAGACUGCAACGUGCAUUUGGACCUUAUUAGAAUUUGGAUCUCUACACGUGUGCCUCCUUUGUAUAUAGCAGAUAAAGCAGCUAAUUAUGACAGGGACUCAAGGAAAAUAGGUCAAUGCAUGCAAAUCUCUUUGGAAAAUAAACUCCAAAUUCGCUAGAGAAAUCCUAUAUUCUCUCCCAGUUUCGUUGUUCCUGAUCUCAAAUUGUGGCAGGCACUCAGCCAGACAACAUGGAUAAGGACGAAUCUGAUCCGCAUGCACGUACACAGUGUAGUACUAGCUAUGAGCACGACACACUUCUGAUGAAGAAAUGAAGAACAUCGCGCGCGCGCACACACACAAAUUACUUAUAAGUACAGCUAAUAAUUAAACUCAACAACGCAUACAGGAAUAACAUACACGUAAAGUCGAGCACCACAAAUUUACAUGCCUGCAGCUAUAUUUUUUUAACUUUAAAGGCAGGAGCGUGCCAGAUCAUAUAAGAAGGAAUAGAAAGCGGGUUUUUACAAUAUUUGUGAUUACAGGCUGUGAUGAAUGAAACUCACUGCACCGGCGACGAGCAUAGGACGACUGGCCACAAGGGCAGCUAUAGCCUAUAGGGUAUUUGGUUCGAUGAAUGGAGUGAUUCUGAUCCAUCACCAUUUUUGUUUCGUUCAGAGAAUUGAUUGAUGAAUACAAGUUGAUCAAUCAGCUCCCCAUGCCUUGUACAGACAUGACUAACUUAAACAUGAUGGGUAUAUAGAGUCACCCCAUCAAAAUUUUCAUGGGAGCAGCUUUAUACCUAGCUCGGAUGAGCCGAUUCCUCAAACCAUGAGUGGAAUAUAUAAGAGAAGGACAAUUCCUCAAA
Long non-coding RNA from Panicum virgatum (switchgrass), 1653 nucleotides. RefSeq lists it as uncharacterized. The record is from RefSeq and is a predicted model, not a curated record. The transcript is spliced from 2 exons. NCBI's taxonomy places the organism in Eukaryota, Viridiplantae, Streptophyta, Magnoliopsida, Poales, Poaceae.